AUGAACGCUGGCGGCGUGCCUAAUACAUGCAAGUCGAGCGAACAGACGAGGAGCUUGCUCCUCUGACGUUAGCGGCGGACGGGUGAGUAACACGUGGAUAACCUACCUAUAAGACUGGGAUAACUCCGGGAAACCGGAGCUAAUACCGGAUAAUAUAUUGAACCGCAUGGUUCAAUAGUGAAAGACGGUUUUGCUGUCACUUAUAGAUGGAUCCGCGCCGCAUUAGCUAGUUGGUAAGGUAACGGCUUACCAAGGCAACGAUGCGUAGCCGACCUGAGAGGGGGAUCGGCCACACUGGAACUGGGACAGGGUCCAGACUCCUACGGGAGGCAGCAGAAGGGAAUCUUCCGCAAUGGGCGAAAGCCUGACGGAGCAACGCCGCGUGAGUGAUAAAGGUCUUCGGAUCGUAAAGCUCUGUUAUUGGGGAAGAACAAAUGUGUAAGUAACUAUGCACGUCUUGACGGUACCUAAUCAGAAAGCCACGGCUAACUACGUG
Molecule: ribosomal RNA, 496 nt
Filed under: uncultured bacterium
Lineage: Bacteria
Description: partial 16S ribosomal RNA
Rfam family: Bacterial small subunit ribosomal RNA
Source: RNAcentral